RNAcentral lists this ribosomal RNA (472 nucleotides) under Bolbometopon muricatum (green humphead parrotfish). RNAcentral's name for it is "partial small subunit ribosomal RNA". It matches the Rfam family "Bacterial small subunit ribosomal RNA", at positions 788 to 1491 of the family's 1533-position model. The record is from RNAcentral. Lineage: Eukaryota; Metazoa; Chordata; Actinopteri; Labriformes; Labridae.
CACUAUGCAUGGUCGUAAACCUGACAGCCCAGUACAUUCGCUGUCCGCCUGGGAACUACGAGCGUAAGCUUAAAACCCAAAGGACUUGACGGUGCUUUACAUCCACCUAGAGGAGCCUGUCCUAGAACCGAUAAUCCCCGUUGAACCUCACCUUUUCUUGCUUAUUCCGCUUAUAUACCGCCGUCUCCAGCCUACCCUGUAAAGGACCUAUAGUAGACAAAAUUGGUGUAACCCUAAACGACAGGUCGAGGUGUAGCGUAUGAAAAGGAAAGAGAUGGGCUACAUUCAGUGAAACACUGAAUACGGAAAAUUAAUUGAAACAUUAACCUGAAGGAGGAUUUAGUAGUAAGCGGGGAACAGAGAGCCCCCCUGAAACCAGCCCUAAAGCGCGUACACACCGCCCGUCACUCUCCCCAAACAAUGAAACCUUAUUUCUAAAAACCAAAAAACGUAGAGGGGAGGCAAGUCGUAA